This 426-nucleotide ribosomal RNA is filed under the name Triticum aestivum (bread wheat). RNAcentral's name for it is "partial small subunit ribosomal RNA". Lineage: Eukaryota; Viridiplantae; Streptophyta; Magnoliopsida; Poales; Poaceae. The record is from RNAcentral.
AUGGAGGGCGUUGCGGGUAUGAUGAGGAGCCUGAAGGUGUCUGAGGAGGAGAGGAAGGGGGUCAGAAUCCGGUCGGCGGUGAAGGAGAAGGGAAAGGCGGUGGAGUUCCAGGCAGUUGGAAGGGUGGUUUCGGAGAAGCCGGCGCAUCCUGAUGCGAUUAGCCUUUCGCUGGGAAGGGUUUGGUGCCCAAUAAAGGGGAUCGAUUGCAGGGAGGCAGGAGACAAUAGAUUUGUUUUUACCUUCAAACAAGAAUCAGGAAAGAGGAAGGCUCUGGAGGAUGGACCAUGGAUGUUUGACAAGGAGUUGGUAGUGGUGGAGGACUAUGAUCCAGCAAAAAGAAUUGAGGAUUAUGACUUUGAUGAGAUUCCAAUAUGGGUAAGAAUUUUCAACCUGCCCUUAGGCAUGAUGCACGAGGAUUCAGCAGAA